CACAUUACAUUAAAACUAGUUACCAUGGUUACCAAAUGGUCACCAUUUAGGUCAUAAAUAGGUCAUAAACAGUUGCUAAGCAACGAGGUUUGAGCUUUGAUCAGAUCACAGAGCUUAGUUAUAGGUCAAUUGCAGCGGACCAAGAAAGGAGAGACAUCGUUUUGAGUUCAGUGCCAUUAUAGUGAAGUACCAGAUUACAAUUUAGGGCAACUGAACAUUUAGGGUAAGUGAAUUUAAAGAAACAAAAUGCAGAAAUUCAUUUCUUAUGUCAUGGGUUGGAAGCCGGCUGUAGAAUCCAACUUUGUGAUGGAAGUGGACUUCAAUUCUGAAGCUCAUGUGCAAGCCAUCGCCCGGCUCACGGAGCGUUUGGAUGGAUACGAAAUUGAGGUUGAAUUUGACAUUUUGGAAGGGGAAACUGACAGUCCAGAGCACAGUCUGGAAAGACACUGUUUGACUGCCUCGGAAGGAGAAACUCCGUCAGCUGACUUUAGACGGACACCCAGUCUGCAAAGCCACUGUUUGACUGCGAUUGAGGUCUUGAACCCCCACAUGGACCCUUUGGGAGAAUUCAUCGUUGACACUUCGGCUCUAUACAGUUUGCCGUCCAACUCAGAGUUGCCCGUCGUUACUGAAAGGGUCACAACAACAACGGACCCUAUUCAGCCAGAAGCAGCUUCUAUCAUAGAGGUGCAAGCUGAGAGCGACACACAAAAUAGGUGGGACGAAAAAGGCUGCAAGACAGUCGUGGAGAAGCUAGUCAGCCGGGUAACGGGGGAUUCAAUAGCAGCUCACCUCCACGAAGCCACCGUUUAUUCACUGACGCAGCAGGUCCUUGAAAAGCUCCAGUAUAUUGACGUAGCCGUGGAGGCACAAAGACACAACAUCAAGAGGGCUGACAUGAAAGCCUACAAGGACCUGCUAAAGCCCAUCGGCUGUAGAAAUACACAGGUGUCGAUUCAGAAGCUAUUUAUGCAGCUGACUGAUGAGCACGUCUGCGAGACACUGGUUAAGCACAUGAUAAAGCCAAAGAAACCCAGCGCCUUCGAAAGAUUCUUGAACGCCACGGAAGAACCGUUCAUUGCCUGUUUCAGACAAACCAAAGUCAAUGACAGCAGUCCAGAGCACAGUCUGGGAA
Molecule: long non-coding RNA, 1135 nt
Organism: Gasterosteus aculeatus aculeatus (three-spined stickleback)
Lineage: Eukaryota; Metazoa; Chordata; Actinopteri; Perciformes; Gasterosteidae
Source: Ensembl